RNAcentral lists this ribosomal RNA (477 nucleotides) under uncultured bacterium. RNAcentral describes it as "partial 16S ribosomal RNA". It matches the Rfam family "Bacterial small subunit ribosomal RNA", at positions 28 to 507 of the family's 1533-position model. The record is from RNAcentral.
GAUUAACGCUGGCGGCGUGCAUAACACAUGCAAGUCGAACGAUCAAACUUAGUACACUUCUUCGGAAAGACACUAAGCGGCUUAGUGGCGAACGGUUGAGUAACGCGUUAGUAACCUGCCUUACACAAGGGGAUAGCCUUCUGAAACGAAGAAUAAUACCCUAUAAAACCAUAAAAGCACAUGCUAGAAUGGUCAAAGUGAUAGCGGAGUAAGAUGGACUUGCUUGUGAAUAUCUAGUUGGUGAGAUAAAAGCUCACCAAGGCAGCGAUCAGAAGCCGGAUCGAGAGCGUGUACGGGAACAUUGGGAGUGAGACAAGGCCCAGACUCCCACGGGAGGCAGCAGGGGGGAAGUUUGCACGAUGGGGGAAAGACUGAUGCAGCGACGCCGCGUGAUUUAGAAGGUAUUCGAGUUGUAAAAAUCUAUUGUAUGGGAAGAACAUGACAGUACUAAACGAAUAAGGCCCGGCUAAUUACGUG